Molecule: ribosomal RNA, 449 nt
Filed under: uncultured bacterium
Lineage: Bacteria
Description: partial 16S ribosomal RNA
Rfam family: Bacterial small subunit ribosomal RNA
Source: RNAcentral
AACGAACGCUGGCGGCAUGCCUAACACAUGCAAGUCGAACGAGAUCUUCGGGUCUAGUGGCCCACGGGUGCGUAACGCGUGGGAAUCUGCCCUUUGGUUCGGAAUAACAGUUGGAAACGACUGCUAAUACCGGAUGAUGACGAAAGUCCAAAGAUUUAUCGCCAGAGGAUGAGCCCGCGUAGGAUUAGCUAGUUGGUGUGGUAAAGGCGCACCAAGGCGACGAUCCUUAGCUGGUCUGAGAGGAUGAUCAGCCACACUGGGACUGAGACACGGCCCAGACUCCUACGGGAGGCAGCAGUGGGGAAUAUUGGACAAUGGGCGAAAGCCUGACCCAGCAAUGCCGCGUGAGUGAUGAAGGCCUUAGGGUUGUAAAGCUCUUUUACCCGGGAUGAUAAUGACAGUACCGGGAGAAUAAGCUCCGGCUAACUCCGUGCCAGCAGCCGCCGUAA